Felis catus (domestic cat) is the source of this 2787-nucleotide long non-coding RNA. RefSeq lists it as uncharacterized. NCBI's taxonomy places the organism in Eukaryota, Metazoa, Chordata, Mammalia, Carnivora, Felidae. The record is from RefSeq and is a predicted model, not a curated record. The transcript has 6 exons.
UUAACACAUUGAAUAGUUAAAAAAAAAAAAAAGGAUUUGAGUUAUACCACUAUCGUAAAACCCUUUUGCAUUGGAUUUAUUACUGUCAGAAAAUAUAAGCUUUAUACCUUUUAUAUUAUUCACAAAAAUGUCCCCUCCUUACCUGAUCUUACAGAUCUUAUUGCUUCCUAUCCAGAGGUGGGAAUCUAUGUCUCUUUCCCUUGAAACUGGGUGGGCCUCUCACCAAUCAAAGGUGGAAGAUGUAAUGCCACAUGACCUCGGGGGCUAGGUCAGAAAAUACAACGCAGUGUCUUCCAGUCUGUCUUAGAAGAGUCAUUCCUGGAACCCCAAGCCUCUAUGUCAGUAAGAAGUACCAGGAAACCAUGCUGUGAGGAAGGCCAAAUUUGGCCAAAGAGGCCUCACGGUGGGGCCCCGAUUCUGCAUGAAAAGAGAGUGGUGCCUGGCCAACCCCCACUCUCUGACCACACUCACACAAGAAACCUGAGGCAGAGCCUACUCCCUCCCACCUCUGCCGGUCAAGCCAUUUAUGAAUUCCUGACCCAUAGAAACCAGGAGCAAUAAUAAAUUAUUUGUGUUGUGUUAAGCUACUAUGUUUUGGGAUAAUAGGUUACACAGUUUUAGAUAACAGAAAGAAGACUAUCUUCUCCCUUUCUUAAGAGACCUGUUCAAUAAGGGGCCUUGCAAUAGAUCUAUAUAGCAUAGUGAUGAGAUUCUGCCUCCAUUUCUCUGCAUCCCAUUUAGAACCAAAGAACUCAUUCCCCAAGGUGAGAGGAAUAUUGUCUGCUGAGGGCUCAUAGCUGUGUCCUUUUCCAGGAAUUGUCCUCAGCCAAAGGACAGCCCACAUCCAAUACUGGUUGGCUCAGGAUAUGAAGCUCUGGCCUCCUUGCAUUAAUUCUGGUCACACAGAAGGGUCGUCACAGCUCCAGAGUUCCUUGGUAUUAUGCCUGAACGUCUGCCUCAAUAAACUACUACACACGAAUCUCCAUUUCAAGGACAGUCUCCAGAUAACCUGAACCAAGACCGGACUUAGUCAAGGGUUAAUUACCAUGGAAAAGGAAGGUGAAGUCAGGCUCUAAGGUGUCUUUUUUCCAAAAUGAUUCAUCAUUUCACAAAGACUGUGAAGAGAAAGAUGGAAUUCAGAGAUCACUGCUAGAAUCUGAUGGCACCUCUCUGAGGCAACCCUACCUCCCCUCUGGAUGUUGCAAAGAUGCAGAAAGAUCCUGACGCAAGGCUCCCAGCUCAGUGCCAGGCUCGGAGGCUUACAGAAGAGGCAGCUGUCAUCAACUGACUCACUUUGGAGCCAUGGGAAAAGCUGUGAGAACCAACUGCCAUGUAGACCGUGCCCAAUGAACAACUCUCAGCUGAAGAGCAAAGAGCUAACUGCUUGGUCCAUGGAUGGCAGUUCCACAGGUGAGGGGACAGUCUACCUGGAAGGCCAUCACUUGGACAGAAGAAGUUUUUACUGACUCAGGGCAGUGGCCAAUGGUCUGACCAUAUGGUGGGGCAGGAAGGCACAUUGGAUAUGUUACCUAUUAAAAGGUUGCCCAUGUGGGGCACAGCCCUGUGGAAAUGAAUCUGAGGGGUGCAAUGAAGCAGGACAGGAUCCCAUCAGAACUACUUCCAGGUUUGGAAGGUGAGUGGAAUGGACAAACAGAUACCCCUGUUUUAGAUGGCUACCUGGGUCUACAAAAUGAGUGAAUAAAUACAGAGGUAGGCUGAAUCUAGACAGAGUCCUCUUGCAUUCUCUGAGACAAAAAAAUGCUAAUAUGAACUGUCUCCCAACCGGAGACAGAAAGCAUGCAAAUGGUUAUGCAGCACGUUCCCUGCUGGGAAGACCAUAAACACAGACGACGAAGGAGACUGAUGGCGACAGCUCUGGGGGCUACAGAUGAGCCUUGGCAGGAACAGACGUUGACUUUGGAUGGAGCUUUCCUUACUAAGGGGUAGGUGCAAAUGUUCAGACAGCCUAACAGAACCUGAAUAGAAGAUACUGUGCCAAUAUGGAUGGCUGAGCGUUUCUCCAGAGCAAGGAACACACCUGACAGCCCGUGUCUAGCAAUGGACACGAUGGACAGAGAUAACCUCCUUCGAGAACGAGUUUGGUCCAGAACAGAAAUGGGCAACAGAAACACAGUUGUCUGAAAAGCUGCAGGUGUAGGCAUUUAGGUGCCGGCUCACAUGAGUGUGGCACUGAGCGUGAGUGGGAUGAAAGAGAUGAAAAGCUCUCUUUUCCUGUGGAUGUGGGGCAGGGGGCAGACGAGGAUGAUGGUCUCACGCUGCAAUUCUGGCCAAGGGAGGGUGACCCUGGUAUAAUGACUUGUUCUUUCUUCCUUAGAUCACUUCAACUUUUCAUUCCCCUGUUCGAUGUUGCAAACACAGACGUGGAAACAGGGAUGACUCCUAAGCAAGAAACUCUAGGUAUGGUUUCAAACUUGACAUUACAAAGUUCCUAAGGGCCUACGGGGCAGGAUGUGCCCGCACUGUCUGUGGCAAAACUGGGUGACAGGGAGUGUGGCUACACGUACCAGUGGUGGAGACAGCCCACCAUAGGGAGGCGUCAUUUUGUUGCAUCUCGCUUUACCGCGUGUUGCUGGUACUGCACUUUUUACAAAUGGAAGGUUUGUGGCAACAGUAAGCAAGUGUAUUGGUGCCACUUUUCCAACAGCGUUUGUCAUUCUGUCUCCUAAAUACGUAAUUCUCACAAUGUUUCCAACUUUUUCAUUAUUUGUGAUCUGUGAUCGAUAAUUACAACUUGCUCGGUGCCCAAAUGAAUUUUUUUAGCAGUCA